RNAcentral lists this long non-coding RNA (209 nucleotides) under Ananas comosus (pineapple). RNAcentral's name for it is "long non-coding RNA (ACOM_LNC034083)". Lineage: Eukaryota; Viridiplantae; Streptophyta; Magnoliopsida; Poales; Bromeliaceae. The record is from RNAcentral.
UUACAUUUCGCGUUCGGGAACCGGUCCUUGCCUGAGAGACCGGUCCCCGGGAGACCGGUCCUUGUCCGAGAGACCGGUUCCCGAGAGCAACACUUUCGGGACUUAGCCAAAUUUCGGCUUCUCUCGCUGGGCCAACGUUCGGGAACCGGUCCCUGCCUGCCAGGGACCGGUCUCAUCAAAGACCCCCGCAGCCCAGCCCGAUGGAACCG